CUAAUACCGCAUAGCCGCACAGCUUCGCAUGAAGCAGUGUGAAAAACUCCGGUGGUACAAGAUGGACCCGCGUCUGAUUAGCUGGUUGGUGAGGUAACGGCCCACCAAGCCGACGAUCAGUAGCCGGCCUGAGAGGGUGAACGGCCACAUUGGGACUGAGACACGGCCCAAACUCCUACGGGAGGCAGCAGUGGGGAAUAUUGCACAAUGGGGGAAACCCUGAUGCAGCAACGCCGCGUGAGUGAAGAAGUAUUUCGGUAUGUAAAGCUCUAUCAGCAGGAAAGAAAAUGACGGUACCUGACUAAGAAGCCCCGGCUAACUACGUGCCAGCAGCCGCGGUAAUACGUAGGGGGCAAGCGUUAUCCGGAUUUACUGGGUGUAAAGGGAGCGUAGACGGUUUUGCAAGUCUGAAGUGAAAGCCCGGGGCUUAACCCCGGGACUGCUUUGGAAACUGUAGGACUAGAGUGCAGGAGAGGUAAGUGGAAUUCCUAGUGUAGCGGUGAAAUGCGUAGAUAUUAGGAGGAACACCAGUGGCGAAGGCGGCUUACUGGACUGUAACUGACGUUGAGGCUCGAAAGCGUGGGGAGCAAACAGGAUUAGAUACCCUGGUAGUCCACGCCGUAAACGAUGAAAGGGAGGUGUUGGUGGGUAUGACCCAUCGGUGCCGC
This 668-nucleotide ribosomal RNA is filed under the name uncultured bacterium. RNAcentral's name for it is "bacterial SSU rRNA". It matches the Rfam family "Bacterial small subunit ribosomal RNA", at positions 163 to 849 of the family's 1533-position model. The record is from RNAcentral.